Molecule: long non-coding RNA, 243 nt
Organism: Empidonax traillii (willow flycatcher)
Lineage: Eukaryota; Metazoa; Chordata; Aves; Passeriformes; Tyrannidae
Exons: 2
Source: RefSeq, a predicted model, not a curated record
GCCCAGGACAUUGAAAUUUUUUAAGAUUAACAAAGCCUGUAUAAAGCAUGGAUAAAUUGAGACGAAAAUGAAACUCAAGGCUUUCUGCAGAUACAAAUAUCAAAGCACUAUCAGCCAUGAAAGUUUUGUUGGAUCUUACCUCUGAUGGUGAUUAUCAUCUGGUGAUGGAAGGUAGUCAUGCUUUAUUUCGAGGUUUAAUUUGUAAGUGUGGUACAAAUUAGUAACAAAUUGGCCUCUCAAUUA